RNAcentral lists this non-coding RNA (148 nucleotides) under Pan paniscus (pygmy chimpanzee). RNAcentral also lists the same sequence under 1 other name. Lineage: Eukaryota; Metazoa; Chordata; Mammalia; Primates; Hominidae. The record is from Rfam by way of RNAcentral.
GCUGGGUGUGGUGGUGCGCACCUAUAAUCCCAGCUCCUUGGGAGGCUGAGGCAGGAGACUCACUUGAACCCAGGAGGCAGAGGUUGCAGUGAGUGGAGAUCACACCACUGCACUCCAGCCUGGGUGACAGAGUGAGACCCCGACUCAA